Molecule: long non-coding RNA, 310 nt
Organism: Felis catus (domestic cat)
Lineage: Eukaryota; Metazoa; Chordata; Mammalia; Carnivora; Felidae
Exons: 2
Source: RefSeq, a predicted model, not a curated record
AUGAACCGGGAGUCAUGACCUGGGCCAAAGUUGGACACUCAACUGACUAAGCCACCCAGGUACCCUACAAACAUCAUCAGUCCCUCAACCAUGUGCCACAGCAGGGCAGAGAUGCCCUGUGGGGGACAGGCAACAAGAGAGAUGAAACAGGCAGAGACAACUUGUGAGUCAGUGGAACCCAUUCCAAUCAUCAAAUCUUUAAACAUGCAGCAAGGACCUUGAAACUUCCACGGCCACCAACUUCAUUCUGUGACUACACAGGGUCAACUUUCAGCCAAAAAUUGUGGAUUAAAAACAGAAUUGAACUCUG